CCGAGUUUACAACUCCCAAACCCCUGUGAACUAUACCUUUAACGUUGCCUCGGCGGCGUCUCCCCCUCGGGGGCGGCCCGCCAGAGGACCCAACAAACUCUUGCAUUUUGAAUCGAGUAUUUCUCUGAGUGAAAAAAGUUAAUAAAUUA
RNAcentral lists this unclassified non-coding RNA (149 nucleotides) under uncultured Nectriaceae. RNAcentral describes it as "sequence contains ITS1". Lineage: Eukaryota; Fungi; Ascomycota; Sordariomycetes; Hypocreales; Nectriaceae. The record is from RNAcentral.